UACGAAGGGGGCUAGCGUUACUCGGAUUGACUGGGCGUAAAGGGCGCGUAGGCGGUUUGUACAGUCAGACGUGAAAUUCCUGGGCUCAACCUGGGGGCUGCGUUUGAUACGUGCAGACUUGAGUUCGGAAGAGGGUCGUGGAAUUCCUGGUGUAGCGGUGAAAUGCGCAGAUAUCAGGAGGAACACCGGUGGCGAAGGCGGGUCUCUGGGCCGAUACUGACGCUGAGGAACGAAAGCGUGGGGAGCGAACAGG
Molecule: ribosomal RNA, 253 nt
Filed under: uncultured bacterium
Lineage: Bacteria
Description: partial 16S ribosomal RNA
Rfam family: Bacterial small subunit ribosomal RNA
Source: RNAcentral